RNAcentral lists this ribosomal RNA (253 nucleotides) under uncultured bacterium. RNAcentral's name for it is "partial 16S ribosomal RNA". It matches the Rfam family "Bacterial small subunit ribosomal RNA", at positions 524 to 776 of the family's 1533-position model. The record is from RNAcentral.
UACGGAGGGAGCUAGCGUUGUUCGGAUAUACUGGGCGUAAAGCGCACGUAGGCGGCGCCGUAAGUCAGGGGUGAAAUCCCGGAGCUCAACUCCGGAACUGCCCUUGAAACUGCAGUGCUAGAAUCUUGGAGAGGCGAGUGGAAUUCCGAGUGUAGAGGUGAAAUACGUAGAUAUUCGGAAGAACACCAGUGGCGAAGGCGACUCGCUGGACAAGUAUUGACGCUGAGGUGCGAAAGCGUGGGGAGCAAACAGG